GACGAACCGUGCGAACGUUGUUCGGAAUCACUGGGCUUAAAGGGCGCGUAGGCGGGUGACCAAGUCCGGGGUGAAAUCUUUCGGCUCAACCGGAAAAUAGCCUUGGAUACUGGUUGCCUUGAGGGAGGUAGGGGCAUGCGGAACUUCCGGUGGAGCGGUGAAAUGUGUUGAUAUCGGAAGGAACGCCGGUGGCGAAAGCGGCGUGCUGGACCUCUUCUGACGCUGAGGCGCGAAAGCUAGGGGAGCGAACGGG
Molecule: ribosomal RNA, 253 nt
Filed under: uncultured bacterium
Lineage: Bacteria
Description: partial 16S ribosomal RNA
Rfam family: Bacterial small subunit ribosomal RNA
Source: RNAcentral